Molecule: ribosomal RNA, 750 nt
Filed under: Psychrobacter celer
Lineage: Bacteria; Pseudomonadati; Pseudomonadota; Gammaproteobacteria; Moraxellales; Moraxellaceae
Description: bacterial SSU rRNA
Rfam family: Bacterial small subunit ribosomal RNA
Source: RNAcentral
GCGUAGAGAUCUGGAGGAAUACCGAUGGCGAAGGCAGCUUCCNGGCAUCAUACUGACACUGAGGCUCGAAAGCGUGGGUAGCAAACAGGAUUAGAUACCCUGGUAGUCCACGCCGUNAACGAUGUCUACUAGUCGUUGGGUCCCNUGAGGACUUAGUGACGCAGCUAACGCAAUAAGUAGACCGCCUGGGGAGUACGGCCGCAAGGUUAAAACUCAAAUGAAUUGACGGGGGCCCGCACNAGCGGUGGAGCAUGUGGUUUAAUUCGAUGCAACGCGAAGAACCUUACCUGGUCUUGACAUACACAGAAUCUUGUAGAGAUACGAGAGUGCCUUCGGGAAUUGUGAUACAGGUGCUGCAUGGCUGUCGUCAGCUCGUGUCGUGAGAUGUUGGGUUAAGUCCCGCAACGAGCGCAACCCUUGUCCUUAGUUACCAGCGGGUUAAGCCGGGAACUCUAAGGAUACUGCCAGUGACAAACUGGAGGAAGGCGGGGACGACGUCAAGUCAUCAUGGCCCUUACGACCAGGGCUACACACGUGCUACAAUGGUAGGUACAGAGGGCAGCUACACAGCGAUGUGAUGCGAAUCUCAAAAAGCCUAUCGUAGUCCAGAUUGGAGUCUGCAACUCGACUCCAUGAAGUAGGAAUCGCUAGUAAUCGCGGAUCAGAAUGCCGCGGUGAAUACGUUCCCGGGCCUUGUACACACCGCCCGUCACACCAUGGGAGUUGAUUGCACCAGAAGUGGUUAGCCGA